Molecule: long non-coding RNA, 2072 nt
Filed under: Canis lupus familiaris (dog)
Lineage: Eukaryota; Metazoa; Chordata; Mammalia; Carnivora; Canidae
Description: lncRNA (ENSCAFG00040022476.1)
Source: RNAcentral
GUACGGAAGAGUCUAUUAGCAUUUGGCAAGUGAGGAAAUUAAAACUCAGAGAGCUUAGGUAACUUAUCCAAGGUCACUCAGCAGAUAAUUGGGAGAAACAGUCUGGCUGCUUUUAGAUCAGUCACUCCCCAUUCUCCCCUCUCCGGCCCUGGCUUCUUGUUUUAAGAACACUCUCCAGGUGAUUUUGAUGCACAGCUGGACGUGAAACGUAAUGAACUUUGGCAAUAUUUUAUAAACUGUGGGUCAUGAUGUAUUUGUAUGUAAUGAAGUCAAUUUGGUGGUCUGCAAAAACCAUAUAAAAAUUAAGCAAUAUAAUAAAAUGGAAACUAUCAGAGUGCAUCACAUGUACUAAAGGUAAAUAUUUUUCAUGAAGCUCUUGCUACAGUUUUAUAUGUAUACUGGAUCUGGAUGAAAAUGGAUUUCUUGCUGUGCUUAUGGGUUCAAAAGCAUUUGAACACUAGUCUCGGGGUUAUGAAUUAGCAGUAGAGGCCAAAGAGCAGGCUCUACUUUUCUCUUGGAGGAGAGCCCUGUAUUAUUGGAAGCAACUACCUAACCAAUUUCUGGUUGGAGAACCUUUGAAGAGAGUGGCUGUUGGGGCCCAGAAUGGAGAUGCUGUUUGUGAACAGAACUGGACUAAGUGGAGAAAGAAGUGUCGUGGGAUUAGAAUAUCUGCAAGAAAAGAAGCUCUUUCAACUCAGAGUCUGCUAUUUGACUGAAAUAGAGAACUCCCCUUGGAUGGCAAAAAGCUGAAGGAAGAUGUUGGUACGAAUAAUCUAGGAAGAGUGAUUUGAAGCUGUUUUUCAUUUUUUUAAGGACAAAAUAAGAAAAAAAAUGGUUUUGUUUGUAAACACCGUGGCAUUUGGUAAAAAGUCUUUAAAACUGAAGCCUAUUUUACUGUAGCUUUGUGGAGGACUGAGGUACUAGGGUGGGGAUAGAGUGUUAAUUUGAGAAGAAUCUCAAAACUGAACCCCCUUUUAUUGCUCCACACACAAGACUCUAAAAAUUCUAAUUACCUUCUGCUUGGAAAAAACAAUCUUCAAAAAGCAAAAUAUGAUCCUUAGAAAAGAUCCACAUUCUGUUAAUCGUUUUAAAUCAGGGUCAAAGUGAUUUCCUUUAGGAGAACUACAUUACUCCUUUUGAAAUACAUUUUUAUUUCCUUCUCCUUUAUUAAAUACUGUAUUUUCAAUACAAAAGGAAGUCAAUGAACAGGAAUCUCUAAUAUUAUAUUUCUGCCAUACACACCAGGCAUUCUAUCUUCCUAUUUCAGCCUAAAAUGUAUAAGAUAGAUAUUAUUUUAAAAACAUGCUUAUUUUUCCCUUUUUUACAACCAUGUUGAAUUUAUGGAGCUUUUAUUUUAUGUAUAUGCUUUAUUUGGCAAUAUGCCCCCAAAUAUUUCAUUUUUAUAAGUGAAGAAAUUCAGUUUCUCAAGAUAGAGGUUCCAUAUAGUCAAAUAAAAAGUCUAGAGGUCCUAUAAAAUCUUCACAGAUGCUCUAGUUCUGUACAUUCUGUGUUUGGCCACUCAGCCAGAAUAAAUAUUUAAAAGAUUUUUCUUGCAAAUGGAACACUGGAUUUUAAUGUGGCAGAUUUUUACGUAACUCUCUAUAUUGACAUAUUGUUAACUAUAUAUUAGUAAAUAUAUAUCAGAUGCACACUUAUUCUCUAAUCAUCUGAUGUAUUUUGUUUGUUUCCCUCCAAAGAUGAUAGGCCCCUGGGGUCAAAAGGCCAUGUCUUAUGCCUCUGUCUCUUAGAGAACCUGAUUCAGUGCUGAAUAGUAGACAUUGAGUAAAUAUAGGAUUACAAUCCCUCUACUCAACUCCUAAUUCUGCUCCUCACUACUGUUCAGGUUCCUUGACUAUAAAAUGGGAAUGCAUUUCCAUUGCAUACGGUUGAUGAGACAAUAUAUGUAAAAGGACCUCAUGAACUGUAAAGCUCUACACAAAUAUUUGUCUGACCCAAAAAGGGUGAGUAGCACUCAGCUAGAUGAAAGCUUUCGAGAAGAGAAGGAGACUCUGGGCAACACAUAAAAGAGUGUCCAACCUUAGCUCUCAAGGCCCUAGUGUUUCCUGGCCAGU